RNAcentral lists this ribosomal RNA (965 nucleotides) under Serratia marcescens. Its description in RNAcentral is "bacterial SSU rRNA". It matches the Rfam family "Bacterial small subunit ribosomal RNA", at positions 531 to 1494 of the family's 1533-position model. The record is from RNAcentral. Lineage: Bacteria; Pseudomonadati; Pseudomonadota; Gammaproteobacteria; Enterobacterales; Yersiniaceae.
GGGGGGACGGUUAAUCGGAUGUACUGGGCGUAAGCGCACGCAGGCGGUUUGUUAAGUCAGAUGUGAAAUCCCCGGGCUCAACCUGGGAACUGCAUUUGAAACUGGCAAGCUAGAGUCUCGUAGAGGGGGGUAGAAUUCCAGGUGUAGCGGUGAAAUGCGUAGAGAUCUGGAGGAAUACCGGUGGCGAAGGCGGCCCCCUGGACGAAGACUGACGCUCAGGUGCGAAAGCGUGGGGAGCAAACAGGAUUAGAUACCCUGGUAGUCCACGCUGUAAACGAUGUCGAUUUGGAGGUUGUGCCCUUGAGGCGUGGCUUCCGGAGCUAACGCGUUAAAUCGACCGCCUGGGGAGUACGGCCGCAAGGUUAAAACUCAAAUGAAUUGACGGGGGCCCGCACAAGCGGUGGAGCAUGUGGUUUAAUUCGAUGCAACGCGAAGAACCUUACCUACUCUUGACAUCCAGAGAACUUUCCAGAGAUGGAUUGGUGCCUUCGGGAACUCUGAGACAGGUGCUGCAUGGCUGUCGUCAGCUCGUGUUGUGAAAUGUUGGGUUAAGUCCCGCAACGAGCGCAACCCUUAUCCUUUGUUGCCAGCGGUUCGGCCGGGAACUCAAAGGAGACUGCCAGUGAUAAACUGGAGGAAGGUGGGGGAUGACGUCAAGUCAUCAUGGCCCUUACGAGUAGGGCUACACACGUGCUACAAUGGCGUAUACAAAGAGAAGCGACCUCGCGAGAGCAAGCGGACCUCAUAAAGUACGUCGUAAUCCGGAAUUGGAGUCUGCAACUCGACUCCAUGAAGUCGGAAUCGCUAGUAAUCGUAGAUCAGAAUGCUACGGUGAAUACGUUCCCGGGCCUUGUACACACCGCCCGUCCACCAAGGGGAAGUGGGUUGCAAAAAGAAGUAGGUAGCUUAACCUUCCGGGAGGGCGCUUACCACUUUGUGAUCAUGAUGGGGUGAUAAAAAAAAAA